Molecule: long non-coding RNA, 1539 nt
Organism: Chinchilla lanigera (long-tailed chinchilla)
Lineage: Eukaryota; Metazoa; Chordata; Mammalia; Rodentia; Chinchillidae
Exons: 5
Source: RefSeq, a predicted model, not a curated record
GCCGCUAGCCUGGGUCUCCCCGCUUUGCGUCCUCGUGCGCCCGGCCCCCGCGGGGUGCUGCACCGCACCGCCUCCCCCUCUCGGGCCGCGAUGGUGCGUCCCGCUCCUCGGCGGCUCUCCCGCCCGCCGGAGCUUCGCGAAAGUCCCGGAGUUGGGGAGUUGGGUGCUAACUGGUGCGGGCUGCGCGCUGGUGGGCAGCGAGCGAGUGCGCGCGAGCCGGGGCGCCCCGGGACCCGAGCGCCCGGCGGGGCCACCUCCAAUAAGGGCUGCUGCCAGGCGUUUUCGAGCUCCCCGGGGAUACGCAAAUAGUGCGAGAGCCUGGCCGAAACCUCAGAGCCUACAGCCCCGGAGCACUCGCCUCGGCCCCGGGACCUUCAGACCCGCUCUGACUACCCCUGCGUUCUCAGCCGGAAAAUGGGGCCACAGCUGUGCUCCGCGCGCUGUUCUACCCGCGGUGCCCGGUUUUCUUCCUCCCCGAGACCUUGGACGUUAGGUGUGAACGCCUUCUGUAAAUUGUAGAAUGCCACCUGUCUGCUGUCCCUGCAAACCCGCGUGGAGGUGACCAGAACCUCUCUGCGGGACCCUCUGUCGCGCGAGCCCAGCCUGCCUGGGUCCGAAUGUCUUCCAGUCCCACGUGUGCCUUGGGACGCAGCGCUCGGAGCCGUUCCCACUGCCUCUCGAGUUUUUCUAUCUCCCAUGCAGCCGCUCAGCCAGACAAGAUGAGGUGCACGGCUCCGGGAGGAAGUGCAGGCAGACCCAGCCCUGACAGCUGGGAGCUGAAACGUUAGACACGUGAUCCACCAGACAAGGAACCACAUCAGAGGUCCUGUCUCCGAGAGAACUAUCCUGACCACCUGACCACAAGCACCCGAUCACUUCUACUUGCUUCAUUUUCCUUUGGUCUCCCUCUGCAAUGUAAGUUCCAAGCAAGCAGGCGCUUGGUGUUUCUUCGUACCCCCUUCCUCUGUCAGCACAUACUUCUUUUUUUUGUUAAUCAGAAACUGGCAUUCUUUCCAGGCGGAGGAAUUUGCAAAUGAGGUCUACCUUUCCCUGAGCCAAAGCAGAGCCAAACCACAGGAUUUCAUACUCUUUUUAGCCAUAUGGAACUAAACUGUACAUCCUCCCAGACUCUCAGCUGCACUGGGCAGCUAUCUUGUCUGCUCAUUCCCUGCCUAGACCUACACUGCGGAACAUUUGUGCCUGACACGUGCAAAGGGAUGAAAACACGUAUUGGUGAAUGAAGGAGAGUCUACUCAGGAAAUGGUGGACCCUCUGCCUUCGAUAUAAGCCCCACUCUGAGGAGUGCACUGGACAUCUUGCCUUUGCUGCUAAUCUCCUUCCUUUGGACCCUAACUCAGUCAAGGUGAAGCUUCCUGAGAACAUCUCCAAUGCAGAGGAAAGUGAGCUGAGAGACCAUCCAGUCACCCAAGCCAACCCCUGAUGUCAUCUGUGCUUCUACUUUGACCGACCUCCUGCAUUCAAACAAUUACCUAAUAAUGCUGCUUUUACUGCCUAAUAAAUUUUAAACUUAUUCCUUGC